RNAcentral lists this ribosomal RNA (427 nucleotides) under uncultured bacterium. RNAcentral's name for it is "partial 16S ribosomal RNA". It matches the Rfam family "Bacterial small subunit ribosomal RNA", at positions 355 to 774 of the family's 1533-position model. The record is from RNAcentral.
UGGGGAAUAUUGGACAAUGGGCGAAAGCCUGAUCCAGCCAUGCCGCGUGUGUGAAGAAGGUCUUCGGAUUGUAAAGCACUUUAAGUUGGGAGGAAGGGCAGUAAAUUAAUACUUUGCUGUUUUGACGUUACCGACAGAAUAAGCACCGGCUAACUCUGUGCCAGCAGCCGCGGUAAUACAGAGGGUGCAAGCGUUAAUCGGAAUUACUGGGCGUAAAGCGCGCGUAGGUGGGUAGUUAAGUUGGAUGUGAAAUCCCCGGGCUCAACCUGGGAACUGCAUUCAAAACUGACGAGCUAGAGUAUGGUAGAGGGUGGUGGAAGUUCCUGUGUAGCGGUGAAAUGCGUAGAUAUAGGAAGGAACACCAGUGGCGAAGGCGACCACCUGGACUGAUACUGACACUGAGGUGCGAAAGCGUGGGGAGCAAACA